Molecule: ribosomal RNA, 237 nt
Filed under: uncultured bacterium
Lineage: Bacteria
Description: partial 16S ribosomal RNA
Rfam family: Bacterial small subunit ribosomal RNA
Source: RNAcentral
AACGAACGCUGGCGGCAGGCCUAACACAUGCAAGUCGAACGCCCGUAGCAAUACGGGAGUGGCAGACGGGUGAGUAACGCGUGGGAACGUGCCCUUCGGUUCGGAAUAACUCAGGGAAACUUGAGCUAAUACCGGAUACGUCCGUAAGGAGAAAGAUUUAUCGCCGAAGGAUCGGCCCGCGUCGGAUUAGCUAGUUGGUGAGGUAAUGGCUCACCAAGGCGACGAUCCGUAGCUGGU